Molecule: long non-coding RNA, 530 nt
Organism: Polypterus senegalus (gray bichir)
Lineage: Eukaryota; Metazoa; Chordata; Cladistia; Polypteriformes; Polypteridae
Exons: 4
Source: RefSeq, a predicted model, not a curated record
GUUAGGCUGACUGAUGAUUAUAAACAUGCCCACCAGCUUAGGCUCCAGUGCUGUACCCAGUUCUGCUGUGCUACUUAGGACCGCAGCCAGAUGACACCUGACCAUCUUCAAUUACUACCUAAGCCCCUCCUCUUCCAGGGUUGCAGGUGCAUGCCAGCUUGAUGUACCUAAUGUGACUGGAGUGUAUACAAUGUGGUCCUCAGGCACCAACUCUCCUUCAGGAAAAUACCCCAUGUGCCCUCAUUUUGAGGUUGUUUUGGUUGUACAAUGCCUGCUUUGUCAAUUAUGAUGACUGCAAUUCAAAGAUGCGCUGGAGACAGAAAUCAUACUUUGGAUAUUCCUUCAUGCUGUCCUGAGCUACAUUUGCAGGAAUCUGUUAAAAGGUUGGAUUCUAGGUACUAGCAAGUGAUGAAUUCUCUUGUAGUGCAAUUGCUUGCAGAGAACAGGUAGUACUGUGCACAAUGGUGCAUUUUUUGAAGUGUGAUGAACAAAAGCUGCAAAAUAUAAUUGAUUUUGCUGGUGUGCUACAG